GCCAGUGUGAUGAAAUUGGUAGACAUGACGGAUUCAAAAUCCGUUGCCUUUGCGGGCGUGCGAGUUCGAGUCUCGCCACUGGUACCA
This 87-nucleotide transfer RNA is filed under the name Oceanospirillum sp. RNAcentral describes it as "tRNA-Leu". It matches the Rfam family "tRNA". Rfam says of the family: Transfer RNA (tRNA) molecules are approximately 80 nucleotides in length. Their secondary structure includes four short double-helical elements and three loops (D, anti-codon, and T loops). The record is from RNAcentral. Lineage: Bacteria; Pseudomonadati; Pseudomonadota; Gammaproteobacteria; Oceanospirillales; Oceanospirillaceae.